UGCGAUACGUCACUUCACCGAAAU
Molecule: microRNA, 24 nt
Filed under: Brachypodium distachyon (stiff brome)
Lineage: Eukaryota; Viridiplantae; Streptophyta; Magnoliopsida; Poales; Poaceae
Description: bdi-miR7726b-3p
Source: miRBase by way of RNAcentral